RNAcentral lists this long non-coding RNA (517 nucleotides) under Volvox carteri. RNAcentral's name for it is "long non-coding RNA (VCAR_LNC000725)". The record is from RNAcentral. Lineage: Eukaryota; Viridiplantae; Chlorophyta; Chlorophyceae; Chlamydomonadales; Volvocaceae.
GAACAUACAUCUUGUAUGUAUGUUGUUACAGGGUGGUUAACUUCGCCAGCGGCCCCCUUUCCCGGGGCAGUCCCUGCUCUCCCCUGCUAGAGGGGCACCCUAAUCCGUCACCCCAUCCGACUUCAGAAUGUAUUCGUUGGGUUCGGCAACUCACCACCAGCAUCCAACCAAAUCUAGCGGAUCAACGGCGCAUCAACUUAGUUCCUGGUCAGCUCGCAAGUUGAUAUUAUCACGUCCUACACCGUCCAUAAGAUGGGGGGCCACCUCCCAUUUCAUCACUCCUCAAACACCCGAGGAGCCGGCAGGCGGAUUUGAACCCGGGUCGACUGGGUCGACUGGGAGCAGAAGUCAGGCCUUAACCUCUGCCAGCCGCCUGCAUCUUGUAUGUAUGUUGUUACAGGGUGGUUUUUACAGGGUGGUAUUAUCACGUCCUACACCGUCCAUAUGAUGGGGGGCCACCUCCCAUUUCAUCACUCCUCANACACCCGAGGAGCCGGCAGGCGGAUUUGAACCCGGG